This 535-nucleotide ribosomal RNA is filed under the name uncultured bacterium. RNAcentral describes it as "bacterial SSU rRNA". It matches the Rfam family "Bacterial small subunit ribosomal RNA", at positions 767 to 1304 of the family's 1533-position model. The record is from RNAcentral.
AGCUAAUAGAUACCCUGGUAGUCCACGCCCUAAACGAUGUCUACUAGUUGUUGGUGGAGUAAAAUCCAUGGGUAAACGCGGCUAAACGCGUGAAGUAGACCGCCUGGGGAGUACGGUCGCAAGAUUAAAACUCAAGGGAAUUGACGGGGGCCCGCACAAGCGGUGGAUUAUGUGGACUAAUUCGAUGCAACGCGAAAAACCUUACCUGGCCUUGACAUGCCACUAACGAAGCAGAGAUGCAUUAGGUGCCCGUAAGGGAAAGUGGACACAGGUGCUGCAUGGCUGUCGUCAGCUCGUGUCGUGAGAUGUUGGGUUAAGUCCCGCAACGAGCGCAACCCUUGCCAUUAAUUGCCAUCAUUUAGUUGGGCACUUUAAUGGGACUGCCGGUGACAAACCGGAGGAAGGUGGGGAUGACGUCAAGUCCUCAUGGCCCUUAUGGCCAGGGCUUCACACGUAAUACAAUGGUCGGUACAGAGAGUUGCCAACCCGCGAGGGGAGCUAAUCUCAGAAAGCCGAUCGUAGUCCGGAUUGUUCU